This is a long non-coding RNA of Anas platyrhynchos (mallard), 5472 nucleotides long. RefSeq lists it as uncharacterized. Lineage: Eukaryota; Metazoa; Chordata; Aves; Anseriformes; Anatidae. The record is from RefSeq and is a predicted model, not a curated record.
AGCCAAUCUGUGAUAAAAGGGGAAAAAUGAAAUCACUAUGGAAACUGCAGGAAGAAUCUAAAAGCUUUCUUUAUAAAGUAAACGUCUGAUGUUUGUGACUGCGGGGGCAAAAAAUUCAUAAAUCUGUACGAUGCUAUCAUUUCUGAUUUGUUAUCGCAGCAAAUGCCAAGUCUAAGCAGUCUGACCUUAGCCUUAUUAAGUGCUUUCUUUUCAGAUACAGUUAUUAUUUGACAAUAGAGAGACUGCAGUGCUGCAGGGGGGAAAACUAAUAUAUUUAAAAUGUGUGUGUGUGUCUGUGUGCAUCUAUCUAUCUAUCUGUCUAUCUAUCUUUCUUUCUUUACUCAUGAAGCUUCUGGAGUUGGGAGCACUGAAUGUGGGAACUCAGGGACUACUAUUCUGAGCACAAUUCAGAAAACUCCGUUGCGUCCCAUUACGUGCGUGUCUUUGAUCUCAAAUUGAAAAUCUCUGAGCCUCUUCCUCCAAUCCAAAAGCAAAUAAAUACUGAAAGGAAGAAACCUCUCUCCUCUCAGCAGAUAGGGCCUGCAAGACUGAAAAAUGAAGGUGACUGUGAGAGCUCUGGUGAGCCUGUUUGGACAACAGACAGCACAAAUACCUGUCUCAGUGGAGGAGUUUAAGAGCACUGCAGAGAUCCUCAGACAGUGCAGAGUCUCUUGGCUUACACAGGCCACUGUCUUUCUCUCUAAACAAUACCAGCCAAGUUUCCUCUGUACAACUGAAGAGCUGCAGGAACAGAAGGACAGUAACUAAAGCUUUUAAAUUUCAAUCUCCUGGUCUUAUUAGGAAAAAAAACAAUAAUUAAAAAAAAAAAAAAAAAGAAAGAAGAAAGGAAGAAAGAAAGAAAGAAAAAAAGAAGAGAAAGAAAGAAAAGGAAAAGAAAAAAGACAUGAAAUAUAAGGAGCAUGAGGAUUCCAAGGAAGAAAACUAUACACGGCAGUUUGAAGCUACAGGGGCAGUCCUGCCUGUUUUUCCUCCAACCAGCUACUUUACUUCAGGCCCUUUGAAACCAGCAAUUCCCAUGGAUCAGCACUUAAAGCGGAUUUGCUGACAGAGCCGUGAAGUUGCCAGAGAUCCUCCCUGUGGCCUGAACCGAUGCCCCCGGGGAGCCCCGCACUGAGAGCCACAGACCUCCGGGUGUGACGCAGUGGAUGAUUGAUUGUACCCGCCAGCUGGCUAAUAUCAUAAUUAACAAAGUUGCUACCAUGUCUGAGAAGUUUAAUCGAAAAAAUUGCCGGCAGUAUGAUGCCAUUGUCACAGAGAUCACAAGCACUGCAGUGUUGACUUUUGUACUGGUGGAGCCGCAGGACUAUGUAGAUGUGCAGAGAAGUCGUUCGCUGGGAUAACUAAAGUGAGCUGUGCUUGCAGACGGCGUGACUGGGCUCUGCUGGAGCUGGCCAGUGACAUACUGCCUCCGCUCUUCUCAUCACUGUUGGAGCAGCCAUGCUGCGGGAAUGCCAAACCUGGGAGCAGCUGCCUGAGACAAGCCCUCGCAUGCAGGCAUGUCAGCAGAAGCACAUGGAACCGCAUCAGCAAGGUUUAGCUGGUGGAUCACGUUGUAAAAUCUGCAGCCAUGAAAGGCCCUCCAUUUAUUGCACCCUUCAAAACGAAAUAUUAGCAUGGGAGGCUAAGCUGGGUGUUACGGAGUAGUGACUUCAAGUUCUGGUUCACAAGUAAAUCCAUGUCAGUAUAAGGAGAGCUGUCGAUGAGAAAUGGAGGCUAAUAACGAAGGAGUCAGUGAAGGAGACCAAUGCCACAAGGGUUAUCUCGCAGCCCCAGAUGCUGGAUAAGUUGGAGGAGGCAGAAUCGCUUUUGGAUGACAUUCAGGAAGGCCUUGAAUGAUUAUUUGGUGAAGAAAAGACUAUUCUUUUCAAGGUUUUUCUCUCAAUGCAGCAAUGAUCUCUUAGGAAUCCUUUUUGAGACAAAGGAUCCACUCCAUAUCCAACCACACCUAAAGAAAUGCUUUGAAGGAAUUGCCAAGCUCACUUUUAAUCAUGAGAAAGAAAUUACCCACAUGGAGUCAGCAGAAAAUGAAAAAGUAGAGCUCGUGCUGCGAAUAAUUCCAGCAAGUGCCAAGGGGCUAGUUGAGCAAUGGCUUCAUGAGGUGAAUAUCUUUAGCUCUUACUUAGGGUUUAGUUACUGUAUAAUCAUUUUCUCUUUUAGGAGCAAUGAAUAUCAUAAGCAUAUUUCCUAACUAAACAGCUCUCUGAAUAUUUGUCAAGAUGUUGACAGAUUUCAGCCUUAUUGUUGUUAUUUAUUGCAGCUAAUUUAGCAACUGCAAAUGUGCAAAAAUUAAUUUUAAUGAAAAGCUCUCAGAGUCAGGCUGUCAGCAGAAGUGGGUCUGUGUCUGAAACCAUGUAUGUGAAUAUAUGUCCGAGUCUACAUGUAUGUGUUUUUGUGCUUUCAUGGUGUAAUGUCUGUAGCUGAUGAGGAAAACAUUUUUUAAACAAUCGCAGAAAUGUAAGAUUUCAAAUGCUUCCAUCCUGUAGAAAUGUAUCCCAUUGUGUUGGAGGGGUUUAAUUUCCAAUACAUUUUAACAAAAGGGAAGAGAACUGAUAACAUCCUAACCUUUCCCCUUCAGGCCACUAAUCCAAAUUCAUUGGUUUUAGCAAGAAAUUAGUUUGGUGACCUUUUUUGUUGUUGUUGUUGUUCACUUUAUUUAACCUUCCUCUGCCAGAGGAUAGGAACUGGCCCUUGUUUUUCAUUUCUGGACCAAAAAAAACUUCCCCUUCCCCCGUGUUUGCUUUCUUAUGGGGCAGGAUCAACCCUGGGUACAUGGGGGCUGCCAGCCAGCAGGACAGAGCAGCCAGGGGAGUGUUAUUUCUAUUCCCAGAUAAUUUGGCUGACACCCUGUGUGCAGAGGUGGCAGCAAAGCCCCGUGCGGGUAGUGGGUUGGAGGGGUUUGGCCCCAUUGUGUGUCACACUUUUGCUGACUGUGUGAGCAAAGCUGAGCCCGCAAGCCCUCUCGUGUGUCUCUGUUGCCCACUGUGUUGAGAGUCACAACAACAUGCUAGGUUGGGCCAAGCCCCCCCCCCCCUUUUUUUUUUUUACAGCAACUACAUCGCAUUUGAGGUGGUCCCGCAACAGCAUUCUGUGGGGUAAGGUAGGGAGGAAAGCAUGUAAGGAUUUAGACAAACACAAAUGCUCCCUACCCUGUUCUCUGUGUCAAAUAACUAGCUUGAUUUUUUUGGACUAGUUUUCAGCACAAAAUUUUCUUCCUUGGAGAGUAGGGGGGGGGAAGCUACAAUGGGUAACUGGCAGUUCUGAGGAGCCCAGGAAAAGCCUAAAUUCUAUUACACUAAGCCUGCAAUAUGCUUUUUAGUUUUUACCUUCUCCCACAAAUGAAAGAUGUUUGGAGAGUUGAGCAGCUGUGUUUAUUUUAACACAUCUCAUUUAACCUUCACCUAAAAACAAAUUGGAAGGUUUGGGAGUGCAUUAAUCUGGACCCAAUUAGUGUCUCUUUCUCUCUCAAAAGUGCAACCUGAGAUUAAUGAAUAUAAACUAGAGUUUCAUAUGCAGUCUUUAAAUCAUUUGCAUGUUUUAUGCAUGAUAAUUGAAUUUAUUUAUGCACUUCCUUUCAUUUAGUGAUUUCUUGCUCUUUUCUAUGCUAUCAACAUUAUAUUAUGCAAGACACAGGAUUAUGGUAGGCAAGAAAGGAUAGCGGUAUAUAAAUCAAACCCGAUUUAAUUCUUAGUUCUAGUGUCAACAGUACAUCAGAAUUAAUAUUGGUAUCAUGCCAGUGGGGUACGUGGCCAGGAAAAUUUAAAAUAUUUUUGGUAAAAUAGAGGCUUUUAGAUUAAGGAGACAUUUCUGAUGCAGUUUAGAUUGCUUGCAAGUGUAUAAGCAAAAUUAUUUUCAAAUGGCAGUUAAAUUAUUGUAUUGACUUUUCAAUGACCGUAGAGACUUGUGUUUCAACUUGGCCAAUUAGUAGUAAUAAGAAGAUGAAUAGUAAUUACAUUAAUAAAUAACUGUUUUUAGACCAGGAUUCAGUAUCAUAGUCUGGCUAAGAAAAUAAGGGCAUUUUAUAACUUGUUUCAUUUGGUCUUUGAUCAGGAGAAAAAGGACUUUGGAACUAUAGUAAAUCUCUUACAGCCAAGAAUGUAGCAGUCCUAGGGACUAGUGAGCCAUAUUAGCUAGCAGCUCUGUGGUAGUAGCUGUUUCAGUGCCAUUGGUAGGGAAUUUUGCUUUGUUUAAGAUGAGAUGUCUUAAAGAUUUCUUAGUGAUGGUCUCUGCAUUUUUUAUAAUGCAUGCCAGGAAGCUACUAUGGCAAGGAGUUUUAAUAAGAUGCUGGUAGUGGUGCUUUCAAAGCUUUAACCUAUACCAGUUUCUUUUUUGUCUCGUCUUUCCUAUGUGUUGAAAGAUGUAUGUGGAAGUGAUAUUUUUCUGUGGUGUCCUGUCUUUUAUCAGUGGAUUAAAUGGCUGUGUGUUGUGAUCGUUUCCUGAUUCUCGUAGGUAGGAAUGUGUUUAAAGGCUACAGCUCUGUUAAUUUGUGAUGUAACCAUUUCAGUGUGUUUCUUGUCAUUGAAAUGUAGUUUAAAAUGUUCAGUAAUGUAGCAUGAAAUUAUUGGUUAGUUUUGGAAUGGUGGUGAAAUCAUGUGAAGAAAAUAAGUAUUGCAUCUGAUCAAGAUAAAUUCACUCUAGUGUUUUAUGGCUUUUUAUUCCUAUGUGAUAGUAAUAAAGUCUCAUGUAGGGAUGGAAGCCAUGAAAUACAUUGUGAAAAAUCAUCAACUCAGAUGGGGCCAUCAGGAUAGCAUGCUGUAGUUGUAGAGUUCUUGAGAAUGAUUGGAAGAUGAUUUAGUAUGUCACCAUGUUGACUACCAUGUUUUGCAUUUUGUUUCUUCAUCCAUCACCCAUGUAGUUUGAUGAGAAGAAAUCAGCUUCUAAUGAGCUGAACCAUCUUUACAUCAGUGUUCAGUGUUUAAACUGUUCAUACAUCUUUCAUUUUCUGCUAAAGAUAACACUGUAUAUGAAACACUAAGCUAAGAAUUUAAUACAGCUAAUAAAAAAGGCCACAACGAAUACAAGUAAAAACCAAUGAAUUUGUAAUUGUUUGAAAAUUAAGAAUGAAAAAAAAAAACAAAAACACAAGGUCUAAACUGUUAGCACACGGGCCAGGUUGUUUAUUUCCAUGUUCAAGAGCAAAUCUGAGAGAUGGUCUGGGGAUUGACAGAUCUUUGGGGAUCUUUUUCCUGCUUACUUUUAUUGGUGAAAGUGCACAAUCUUUUCUCUCUCUGUAACUGAGAUAAAGGCUGACAGUGUUGAGGGCAGAAAACAAUCUCUAACAAUGUCCUUGCAGUGCUGCCAUUCCAUAUAUUGCCUUACUGCUGCAGCUGUUUGGCUCUUUUCCUUUGGGAAUAUUUUUGGGAAGUUUAUUUGUUCUGAUACAACUAUUUACAGUUUUCAUUCUGUAUUUUUUUCUGAAAUGUAUACUAAUAAAGGUUCAUUGAUUUUUUGGUA